RNAcentral lists this ribosomal RNA (460 nucleotides) under uncultured bacterium. RNAcentral's name for it is "partial 16S ribosomal RNA". It matches the Rfam family "Bacterial small subunit ribosomal RNA", at positions 338 to 795 of the family's 1533-position model. The record is from RNAcentral.
CCUACGGGUGGCAGCAGUGAGGAAUAUUGGUCAAUGGACGAGAGUCUGAACCAGCCAAGUAGCGUGAAGGAUGACUGCCCUAUGGGUUGUAAACUUCUUUUAUAUGGGAAUAAAAUGUUCCACGUGUGGGAUUUUGUAUGUACCAUAUGAAUAAGGAUCGGCUAACUCCGUGCCAGCAGCCGCGGUAAUACGGAGGAUCCGAGCGUUAGCCGGAUUUAUUGGGUUUAAAGGGAGCGUAGGUGGAUUGUUAAGUCAGUUGUGAAAGUUUGCGGCUCAACCGUAAAAUUGCAGUUGAAAAUGGCAGUCUUGAGUACAGUAGAGGUGGGCGGAAUGCGUGGUGUAGCGGUGAAAUGCUUAGAUAUCACGAAGAACUCCGAUUGCGAAGGCAGUUCACUGGACUGCAACUGACACUGAGGCUCGAAAGUGUGGGUAUCAAACAGGAUUAGAUACCCUAGUAGUC